RNAcentral lists this ribosomal RNA (253 nucleotides) under uncultured bacterium. Its description in RNAcentral is "partial 16S ribosomal RNA". It matches the Rfam family "Bacterial small subunit ribosomal RNA", at positions 524 to 776 of the family's 1533-position model. The record is from RNAcentral.
UACGAAGGGGGCUAGCGUUGUUCGGAAUUACUGGGCGUAAAGGGCGCGUAGGCGGCCUUCUAAGUCGGACGUGAAAUCCCUCGGCUUAACCGAGGAACUGCGUCCGAUACUGAAAGGCUUGAAUCCGGGAGAGGGAUGUGGAAUUCCAGGUGUAGCGGUGAAAUGCGUAGAUAUCUGGAGGAACACCGGUGGCGAAGGCGGCAUCCUGGACCGGUAUUGACGCUGAGGCGCGAAAGCUAGGGGAGCAAACGGG